UUCAUGAUGGGCACCAGUCGA
RNAcentral lists this unclassified non-coding RNA (21 nucleotides) under Mus musculus (house mouse). RNAcentral describes it as "oocyte_clustered_small_RNA11764". The record is from RNAcentral. Lineage: Eukaryota; Metazoa; Chordata; Mammalia; Rodentia; Muridae.